RNAcentral lists this transfer RNA (57 nucleotides) under Camelus bactrianus (Bactrian camel). It matches the Rfam family "tRNA", at positions 8 to 63 of the family's 71-position model. Rfam says of the family: Transfer RNA (tRNA) molecules are approximately 80 nucleotides in length. Lineage: Eukaryota; Metazoa; Chordata; Mammalia; Artiodactyla; Camelidae. The record is from Rfam by way of RNAcentral. RNAcentral also lists the same sequence under 3 other names.
UAGCUCAGUGGUAGAGUGCAUGCCUAGCAUGCACAAGGUCCUGGGUUCAAUCCCCAG